Molecule: long non-coding RNA, 630 nt
Organism: Mauremys reevesii (Reeves's turtle)
Lineage: Eukaryota; Metazoa; Chordata; Testudines; Geoemydidae
Exons: 4
Source: RefSeq, a predicted model, not a curated record
CGCGCACAGGCAGUGUGCAGAGCCCCCUGUCCCCUCUGCCUAGGAGCCAGAGGGACAUGCCGGCUGCUUCUGGGAACCACACGGAGUCAGAGCAGGCAGAGAGCCUGCCAUUGCCCCACUGUGACACUGACCAGGAACUGCCUGAGAGUAUCUCCAUUGAAGGCAAUGGGGUUAUCCUGAUGUAAAACCGGUGCAACUAAGAAGAGAAUAAGAGAGCUCAGCCAGACACAGAAUAUGUCAGACGCUGGUGAAGAUUUCCACAGCACACUCACUCUUCCUGUCUCUCAGGCAUCUAUAUGGCCCAUAUCAGUUCUGGAAAUCACUGUCUAUCAAGACAGUGCCUGGGGACCCAGCUGUGCUUUUCAGCACAAGAUGUUCUUCUGCUACUCACUCGAAGUAUAUCUUGGGAUGAAGAUUUUUGGCUGUUUGUGAUAAUCCGCCAAAUCCUGCUAUUACAGGUUAUUCCAUUUUACAAAGAAUAUUAGCAGGCUCAGAUAUUCCUUCUGUCUGUAAAUUCAAACACCACCUUUCAAUUGUUUAACCAAUGGCUUCCUUGCUGAACAUUAUAUUACAUCUUUUAUAUUAGGAAGUCUAUUAAUUCAUUGUUAUGGCUCAUUAUUUCUAUUAACA